This is a long non-coding RNA of Engraulis encrasicolus (European anchovy), 407 nucleotides long. RefSeq lists it as uncharacterized. NCBI's taxonomy places the organism in Eukaryota, Metazoa, Chordata, Actinopteri, Clupeiformes, Engraulidae. The transcript is spliced from 3 exons. The record is from RefSeq and is a predicted model, not a curated record.
GCCUGAACUGUUGAAGAUGGCGUCUUCACCGUGUGGUUGGCUGCAGAGGCUCUCUUCGAUGCCACACGGACGGCGUCGCGAGAUGGUUCCAAUUUCCAGAGCCAUUCCCCAAUUUUCGAGUCCGAUGAGAGACAACACAUGCGAGCGACGACUGUGUCUCACUAAAGUGAGUGAGGAGGCAUGGGUCUUGUGGCCCUUGUUCUAGAAUGUCAGAGAUGUCAUAAAGAAGAGACAAAUUCCAGAGGGAUUGUGAAUGGGACGAUUGAAGAGCCGCUAUGAUUGACAGGCCUUCCUCUCCCUGCGUGCCCUGGGGCUGAUUGACAAUGCGCUUCAUCUCACAUUUUGGGACCGAGCUAAUCCAGUAAAUUCCUACCAGACGCUUGAGCAUCUCAGUGGAGGCAGCUCUG